RNAcentral lists this long non-coding RNA (1010 nucleotides) under Brachypodium distachyon (stiff brome). RNAcentral describes it as "long non-coding RNA (BDIS_LNC004247)". Lineage: Eukaryota; Viridiplantae; Streptophyta; Magnoliopsida; Poales; Poaceae. The record is from RNAcentral.
AAGCAUAAGCGUGUGCAUCACAGUUGUAGUCACAAUUCCUAAAGAAAGAAUAGUUUGAAUGUCCAAGCCUGCUAUCUUGGCUACCUCCAAUUGCUGAAUCAACGACUGUCAGACUUCUUCAUGUGAGGCUUUGCCAAUGAAACAAAAUUAAAAAAAAAAUUCCAAAAUGGGCAGACAAUACAAACAAAAUGAGUCUUCUCUGGUACCCUGAAAUCGAUAUGGGCCGUCCAUUUUCCAUAAUCCUAGGGUGCAGAUCGAUGCAUAUUUUCCUGACAAAAUGAGCAGUAUAUGGAUUUUUUUUCCGCACGGGCCGGCCCAAACCCCGUCGUCUCACCCCGUCGUGCCCGCUCCCUCCCCCGAUCCAGUGCCGCCGCCCUCCUCUCCCCCAUCCAACGCCGCCGCGCCCUCCCGCCCUGCGCCCUCCUCUCCCCGAUCAAAGGCUGCCGCCGCGCCCUCCCGUCCCCACCAGCUCCUCGAUGACCCACCGGGAAGCAGCCCGCCACCUGUACCCACCGCCCCGGCGCCGAUCGAGGCGCCCGUCGCCGCGCCUCCCGACCCCGUUGGAAAGGCUCGAAGGACCAGCGGCUGCGCCGUCCAAGGCAACGGCGACUUGCGAUUGCACAUGUUCCUUUGCUGAAGAAAGUUCCUGAAGCAACAUGCGACUGAACCUGCUAUUUUUCUGAAGACCGAGUUGUUGCUUUGGUGUACAGGAUUUUUCUUAUGAUGUUCUAUAGCUUUGCUGUAAAGACCUAAAUCAAGGCAUAGAUCCUUGCUGUUUUGAUUUACCUGAAUCAAUUUGUUGCUUGUGUUGGUCUUCAAAUUGAUAUACUUGAAUAAAUGUGAAUUUACAAGGAAAUCUUUGCUGUUUCAUGCCAUGAUAUCGCUCGGCAUCUUGAAAUUGCAGUUUGCUUGCAAAUCUCCAUGGAUUUUAACCUGUUAAAAGUAAAGCAUGGUGCAUAUAUGCCAUGAACUAGACAACAAUCUUUCAAAACAUUCGUUGGAUGUAGGCA